UUGAUCUGAUGACGAGAUCCAACACUGUUCCCAUUUUGAUAUAUUUGUCUAAAUUACAUAGCUAUAAAUUUCACGUCAGCUAGCGGAGAAUGAGGAAUUGUUUGAGAAGGCCAAAAAGCCUAAAGUAUAAAGGUAGCCAUGCCAGCACUAACAAGUUCUAGAGGACAGCCAUUCAGUCCACUCUAGCAGCAAUACUUCAAGAUGGUAAUUUCCUUGGUUCAAUCCCAGAGGAAAUUGGUUUUCAUAUCUUGAUCCGAGGCAUGUAGAAAGUAUCGUACAAAGGAGUGGUAUCUACAUUGGUUCAUGUAGAGAAAGCCUUGGCGGUUCCAAAAGGCUCAAGAUGCAUGGUGAAAGGCAAUGUCGUGGCAGAGCAUGCAUACAGAUAUUAUUGCCAUGAAGUGAUUUUCUGGUUCAUUAUCAGAGGA
Sorghum bicolor (sorghum) is the source of this 425-nucleotide long non-coding RNA. RefSeq lists it as uncharacterized. Lineage: Eukaryota; Viridiplantae; Streptophyta; Magnoliopsida; Poales; Poaceae. The record is from RefSeq and is a predicted model, not a curated record. The transcript has 4 exons.